GUUGAGGUGAAUGUCGUCUGGUUCGAAAUCUUUCUGUGAGCUUAAACAUGAUCUAUCAGGAAGAUUUCGGACCAGGCUUCAUUCCCCUCAAA
RNAcentral lists this microRNA precursor (92 nucleotides) under Rosa chinensis. RNAcentral describes it as "sRNA RchiOBHm_Chr6g0289181". It matches the Rfam family "mir-166 microRNA precursor family". From Rfam's summary of the family: This family represents the plant microRNA (miRNA) precursor mir-166. Animal miRNAs are transcribed as ~70nt precursors and subsequently processed by the Dicer enzyme to give a ~22nt product. In plants the precursor sequences may be longer, and the carpel factory (caf) enzyme appears to be involved in processing. The record is from Rfam by way of RNAcentral. Lineage: Eukaryota; Viridiplantae; Streptophyta; Magnoliopsida; Rosales; Rosaceae.